This 27-nucleotide small RNA is filed under the name Bombyx mori (domestic silkworm). RNAcentral describes it as "ovarian small RNA-35644". Lineage: Eukaryota; Metazoa; Arthropoda; Insecta; Lepidoptera; Bombycidae. The record is from RNAcentral.
UGUCAUCUUUCCAGGCGCUGCGGAUGC